GCGAGAAUGGCGGAAUUGGCAGACGCACUAGACUUAGGAUCUAGCGCCUCAGGCGUAGGGGUUCAAGUCCCCUUUCUCGCACCA
This 84-nucleotide transfer RNA is filed under the name bacterium. RNAcentral describes it as "tRNA-Leu". It matches the Rfam family "tRNA". From Rfam's summary of the family: Transfer RNA (tRNA) molecules are approximately 80 nucleotides in length. The record is from RNAcentral. RNAcentral also lists the same sequence under 1 other name.